UACGUAGGGUGCAAGCGUUAAUCGGAAUUACUGGGCGUAAAGGGCGCGUAGGCGGCAUGGCAAGUCAGGAGUGAAAGGCCUGGGCUCAACCGAGGAACUGCUUUUGAUACUGCCAAGCUAGAGUGCGGAAGGGGCAACUGGAAUUCCCAGUGUAGCGGUGAAAUGCGUAGAUAUUGGGAAGAACACCUGAGGCGAAGGCGGGUUGCUGGGCCGACACUGACGCUGAGGAGCGAAAGCGUGGGGAGCGAACAGG
This 253-nucleotide ribosomal RNA is filed under the name uncultured bacterium. RNAcentral's name for it is "partial 16S ribosomal RNA". It matches the Rfam family "Bacterial small subunit ribosomal RNA", at positions 524 to 776 of the family's 1533-position model. The record is from RNAcentral.